RNAcentral lists this ribosomal RNA (253 nucleotides) under uncultured bacterium. RNAcentral's name for it is "partial 16S ribosomal RNA". It matches the Rfam family "Bacterial small subunit ribosomal RNA", at positions 524 to 776 of the family's 1533-position model. The record is from RNAcentral.
UACAGAGGGGGCAAGCGUUGUUCGGAAUUACUGGGCGUAAAGGGCGCGUAGGUGGCCUUCUAAGUUGAACGUGAAAUCCCUGGGCUCAACCCAGGAACUGCGUCCAAGACUGGGAGGCUUGAAUCCGGGAGAGGGAUGCGGAAUUCCUGGUGUAGCGGUGAAAUGCGCAGAUAUCAGGAGGAACACCUAUUGCGAAGGCAGCUCGCUGGGACGUAACUGACGCUGAGACGCGAAAGCGUGGGGAGCAAACAGG